Molecule: long non-coding RNA, 1881 nt
Organism: Carcharodon carcharias (great white shark)
Lineage: Eukaryota; Metazoa; Chordata; Chondrichthyes; Lamniformes; Lamnidae
Exons: 3
Source: RefSeq, a predicted model, not a curated record
UCUUGCUUAUAUUGAUCCAGCAUCUUCAGACAUUAGGCCCAGCUUCUUGCAGUGAGGUGGAAGGACUGUGGACGUCACAGGGCUGCAGCAGAGUUGGCUCAUGGUUGUGAUUCCAGAGAGCCCGAAGGAAAAGCAAGACAGAAGCUAGCAGAUCAGAAGAGCUCCAAGUUUGAUUCCUGGUCUGUGCUGAAUAGCCAUCACCACAACUGCCUCCAGAAUUCCUGUUGUUCCAUCAAGACCGUGGAAUAUGAGAAUUGAAGAGAUAACUGAAAAGGAGGCCUGUACAUUUACGAUGAAUACAUUUUAAAAAGACCAUCUGAUAAUUUUGCCUUUGUAGAUUGGAAAAUACUGAAAAGCACUAUCGCAGUGGUGCUGAGAUUCAUCCGGAGAGGGAGAGUUUGGACGGAAGCUUGAAGGCAGCCAUGGAAAUGAGAAACAGAUCCAAGGCAGAAGCUAAGGAGUCCCCCAAGUCUGCCACAUUGAAAGCGAGCACCGCAGCUGGGGAUAAGAAAGAAUUUUCCAGCAAACCACCCGAGCCCACCAAUGCCCCUAAGAAACCAGCCACGGAAGCUCCUGCAGCCAGUGAACCGAAGUCCACAGGGGACAACUCAGUAACACCGCCCGCCAGCACUUCAGAUAACAAUAAGGCAACAGAUACCCAGCCAGAAGCCCAGGAUAACAAGGGAGAUACUUCUGAAGGGCAGCCCAGCAAUUUUUUUGAAAACAUGAAGCCAUAUAUACUGGGGGGGGCUGCCAUCACAGCCCUUGCUGUCCUCGUAGGUGUGGUAUUCAUACUGCACAAGAAAUAAGAAAAAUGUAUAAAGUUGUAUAUCAAAGCUGGUUACUUUCUGCAUGUAUGUACAUUGGAGGAAAUAUCUUCCAGCCCCAUAAUAAGUAAUUGUACAACUGUGUUCACCACUAUAAGUCUUGGUUUAAAAUGAUGGUAUUUAACUCAGUGUCCAUACACAUUGCAUACAAAACUUUUGAAUUAACCUGUAUAUUGUAAAAGUGGACUUCACCCCCACCCAGUCCUCCAUUGCCACCUUGUACAGAGCUUAUAGCAAUGUAAAAUGGGCCACACUUGUUCCCAUGCUAGCUUCCCAGUAAAACUUUUCACACACUGUAGGUUCCCCCUAUAAGCAUUGAGUGUAUAUCUUAUAUUCUAGUAGGAAGCCUUGUAAAAGUAGCCCACUCCCUUGUAGCAAAUAAAAUGAGAUGUAUUUCAGCAGCAUGUAAACCAAUUAUUUUUUUUCCCCGGGGCCCAUCUCACAUCUACACCUCUCUCUUUUGCUACAAUCAUCAGUGACAGCAACCGCACCAAAAUAAAAACACCUUUAAUUGGAUCAUUGCAAUGAUCAGAGGCAUCAAGGUUAUUAGAGAAAAAAAGGAAGGCAAAAAGGAAGCUAUGUGCCGAAAGCAAUAAAUCUGAGUUCCACUCCAAACUCCCAUUCCUUCUAGAACUUACUAGUAGAUUCUCUGUGUGAUUUGUUCUUGGGCCCAUGAGAGUAUUUAAUUCAACUAAUGAUGUCACAUUUACUUUGACUUAAAACAAGCGUAUACAUGCAAUAAAAAGCUAAGUUUAAAAAAAAAACAAAUUACUAGUUGGAAGUUGAUAAUAGGUAGAGUAGCUGUGCACAGUGUGACCCAGGCUGCUAUUAAUGUACCCAUCUCUCCUAUACCCACAUACUCUGGACACUGCUUGUUAUUUUAAGUGUUGUAUCAGCUUUUAAGUGAACAGUAAGGUUGGCUAACAGAUGUGCUAUAUGUGAACUACAUAUUCUUUACUCUGUACAUAAUAAAUGAGCCGCUAUUUGUCAGAAUUUAAUGUCUGGCUACCCUGUUGCUCUAAGGAAUGUAAUUCAAUAAAUUAACAUUUCUGAA